GACGAACGCUGGCGGCGUGCUUAACACAUGCAAGUCGAACGGAAAGGCCCUGCUUUUGUGGGGUGCUCGAGUGGCGAACGGGUGAGUAACACGUGAGUAACCUGCCCUUGACUUUGGGAUAACUUCAGGAAACUGGGGCUAAUACCGGAUAGGAGCUCCUGCUGCAUGGUGGGGGUUGGAAAGUUUCGGCGGUUGGGGAUGGACUCGCGGCUUAUCAGCUUGUUGGUGGGGUAGUGGCUUACCAAGGCCUUGACGGGUAGCCGGCCUGAGAGGGUGACCGGCCACAUUGGGACUGAGAUACGGCCCAGACUCCUACGGGAGGCAGCAGUGGGGAAUAUUGCACAAUGGGCGGAAGCCUGAUGCAGCAACGCCGCGUGCGGGAUGACGGCCUUCGGGUUGUGAACCGCUUUCGCCUGUGACGAAGCGUGAGUGACGGUAAUGGGUAAAGAAGCACCGGCUAACUACGU
Molecule: ribosomal RNA, 467 nt
Filed under: uncultured bacterium
Lineage: Bacteria
Description: partial 16S ribosomal RNA
Rfam family: Bacterial small subunit ribosomal RNA
Source: RNAcentral